RNAcentral lists this non-coding RNA (29 nucleotides) under Homo sapiens (human). The record is from RNAcentral. Lineage: Eukaryota; Metazoa; Chordata; Mammalia; Primates; Hominidae.
UGACUUCUCGUGAGAUCUGGCCACUGAAA